AACGAACGCUGGCGGCAGGCCUAACACAUGCAAGUCGAGCGAACCCUUCGGGGUUAGCGGCGGACGGGUUAGUAACGCGUGGGAAUAUACCCUUUGGUACGGAAUAGCCUCGGGAAACUGAGAGUAAUACCGUAUGUGCCCUUCGGGGGAAAGAUUUAUCGCCAAAGGAUUAGCCCGCGUUGGAUUAGGUAGUUGGUGGGGUAAUGGCCUACCAAGCCUACGAUCCAUAGCUGGUUUGAGAGGAUGAUCAGCAACACUGGGACUGAGACACGGCCCAGACUCCUACGGGAGGCAGCAGUGGGGAAUCUUAGACAAUGGGGGAAACCCUGAUCUAGCCAUGCCGCGUGGACGAUGAAGGCCUUAGGGUUGUAAAGUCCUUUCAGAUGGGAAGAUAAUGACGGUAC
This 404-nucleotide ribosomal RNA is filed under the name uncultured bacterium. RNAcentral's name for it is "bacterial SSU rRNA". It matches the Rfam family "Bacterial small subunit ribosomal RNA", at positions 29 to 478 of the family's 1533-position model. The record is from RNAcentral.